AAUCAUCUUUGCAUGUGCUGCUGCUGGUUCUGACCUCAGUGUUGAGCGGCACAACAAACCAAGCCUCUCUGACUGUGAGUCCC
This is a long non-coding RNA of Perca fluviatilis (European perch), 83 nucleotides long. RefSeq lists it as uncharacterized. NCBI's taxonomy places the organism in Eukaryota, Metazoa, Chordata, Actinopteri, Perciformes, Percidae. The record is from RefSeq and is a predicted model, not a curated record. The transcript has 3 exons.